GAUUAUCGCAAGUAAGACUUGUUGUAUCGAUGAAAUUUUUUCUCGGAUUCAAGGAAACCAGACUGAAUAUAAAGUGAACAUUUAUUUCGUGCGCGUGUUUUUUUCCAUUUUGGUGUCAUAGAAAACACGUUGACAGCCCUUAGUAGAUGCAACUGGUGCGCACCUGGUUCAUUUUUUCCUAAUUCAGGAUUUCUCUAGUCAAAGUUGUGUAGAUUGUUCAUGUACUUUCUAAUAGUUUCCUGGGAAUUAUUCUCAUGUCUUUAAAGUAUUAUUUUCGAUAUAAAAUUAAUUUUGCAACUGCCCAGGUUCGAACUGAGGACCUAUUGCGUGUGAGGCAAUCGUGAUAACCACUACACUACAGAUGCUUGUGGUUGAGUGAUCGAAUGUGUAAUGUAAUAAUCUGGAUGAAUGGUUCGCAUCACCAGCUAAUGGAUGGUUUAAUUGUGCAGCAGUAUUCAAGUGUGUGCAUUAAUUAGUGUGGAAAUCCCCUUAGAAGUUGUCCCAGCUAGUUGAGACUUCCUUAAAUCGUGCAACAUCCGCUGGCCAGUCAGUCGUGCUGUAUCAGUGAUUCGCAGUUUCCGGAAACCGUACUGGAAUUUCCAAUGCAGCUACCCGCUACCGGUAUAUAACCAACCCGCAGGAUAACCAACGCUAGUUGCCUCCAAAUUAUUCCCCAGUCGCCAGUCUUUGAUGGUCGCUAGAAGUUUGGGUUCAAACAUGAAGCAAAUGAACGUCGUCGUUUAUGUUAUGUACGUCAUCUAUGUUAUGUGGAUGGUCGCAUUUUUGGCUGUGGUGUCGUCGAAGCCGACAGUGGAAGUCGGGACGGACGUGGUCGUCGAAAUUCUGCGGGCCAUCGAUGGACGCCAAGAUAUGCAGAGAGUCGCAGGUUACCUGAACGCCUCACGUGACGACCUGGCGAAACAGCUGCCCCUCCUUAGUUCAAAUGGGACAAAGUUGAGCUACACUUUCUUCGCUCCAACGUCGUUUGCCUUCACGAUGCAAACGCCCCAGGACACGGUGGACCCGCUCUUCGUGGACGCCAGUCUCCGUAACAAGGUCCUGAUUCGCCAUUUCGCUCGCCAAAGCAUUUCGUCCGACCAGCUGGCCAAAUUGGACAAGCUCGUCAUGGCCGACUCUAGAGAGGCCGUUAUAACUCGAACAGCUGACGGGAAGAUUUCAAUUGACAACGCGGAAAUCCAACCAGGAGCCAUCGCGUUGUCGCAAAAUUUGGGCAACGUCUACCUAGUCGAACGAGUUUUCAUGACCGGAGAUGAAGUGAGCAACGCCAUCAGCGCCCAUUUCCAGAAAAAUCCUAACACUGCUCUGUGUCUCGGCCGGCCCUGCUCGUCCAUAGGUGGUGCUACCGUUAUUGCACCACCACCCGCUCCGUCACCGUCCAUCCCGAUCUUGGGUGGUUUCACCAGCGUCUCAAUUAACGACGCCGUCGUUCUAGAGAUGGCUAGAUUCGCCACCAAUGCGUUGAGUGUCAACAAGGCGUCACCGCUCGUCUUGGUCGGCGUCGUCAAGGCUGAAAAGCAAAUGGUUGCCGGCGUCAAUUAUCGACUCCAAUUAAAAUUCAAUGGACAAUUGGAAAGCGAGGAAAAUCAUUUCAUCGACUGUCAAGUGACUGUCUUCGACCAAGUAUGGACGGCGACUCGUCAGAUUACCUCAUUCCAAUGUACCCCUUAACCAUUCACAUCCCCUGACUGAUAUCAAUUUAAAAUAUUUCAUAGCAUUUGGAACCGUUUGGAACAUUAUCCCUUCAUUAAAUUAUUUGAUGAGCUCUUAUUAUAUUGUUAUUGCGUAUUCUUUCAUUAUAUUCUUGGUGUGUAAUAACGGUAGAGCAAAUAGAGCAUUCUAUGGAGAGCAACCGUGACUUCGUUAACCGAGCGCGCACAGUCAAAGGGUCAAAAACCCAAAUAUGUCGACAUUUCAUCAGGGCAACAAAAAACAAAAGAGACGACCAGUUUUAUCGCACAUCUCGGGACUCAAUUCCCAUCAGUUGCUAUCUCGUCAUUUCGGUGCAUCCCUUUUUUUUCCUUUCUUCUUUACCAGUUUUUCUUAUACUUAGUUGCUCGGGAUUUUGAAUUUAAAGUACACGUAACCUGAAAAUGGAAUUUACUGCUGCUGAACCAGCACAGCUGCAUACACAAUCCGCACCUUUUAUAGGCUACGUCAUCAAUCGACUGUUGUAUGCGGAAAACUCAAGUGUCGACAACGAGAGUAUUACUACUAGCAUGAAGCAUAACACUAUCGUCAAUUGUGUGUUGAUGGCCGCCACUUUUUGGGCUAUGGCGUCAUCGAAACCAACUCCGGCUGACACCGGAAGAGGUGUACCCCUGAAAAAUGUGCCUAGUAGCGACAAACCGGCUCAAGCGUCUGGAUCGAUUCCCAUCUACAAGCCGGAUGAACUUGAGGCUGUACAUAUGGAAAGUUGCGUAAAGCAAUGCAAACUGGACUGGAGAUUCGGACACGGUUGGGAGAGCUGGGUCAGCCAUUGUAUGAAACAUGAGUGCGGAGUCGAACCCGACCCUUACGAAUCCGAGGUCUUUGAUUUCUAUGUUAGGUACUAGCUGAUCGAUGGCACUGUAAAUAUUUAUAAUAAUAAUGUAAUACGGUUCUGGGUCUGCGCUCGAAUACACUUGAAAUCUUGUA
This 2655-nucleotide transfer RNA is filed under the name Daphnia pulex (common water flea). RNAcentral describes it as "uncharacterized LOC124188481, transcript variant X2". Lineage: Eukaryota; Metazoa; Arthropoda; Branchiopoda; Diplostraca; Daphniidae. The record is from RNAcentral.